GAGGGUAUAGCUCAGUGGUAGAGUCCGUGCUUAGCAUGGUUGAGGUUCUGGAUUCAAUCCCCAGUACCUCCU
This 72-nucleotide transfer RNA is filed under the name Camelus ferus (Wild Bactrian camel). It matches the Rfam family "tRNA". From Rfam's summary of the family: Transfer RNA (tRNA) molecules are approximately 80 nucleotides in length. Their secondary structure includes four short double-helical elements and three loops (D, anti-codon, and T loops). The record is from Rfam by way of RNAcentral. Lineage: Eukaryota; Metazoa; Chordata; Mammalia; Artiodactyla; Camelidae.